This 72-nucleotide transfer RNA is filed under the name Actinomycetota bacterium. Its description in RNAcentral is "tRNA-Gly". It matches the Rfam family "tRNA". From Rfam's summary of the family: Transfer RNA (tRNA) molecules are approximately 80 nucleotides in length. Their secondary structure includes four short double-helical elements and three loops (D, anti-codon, and T loops). Lineage: Bacteria; Bacillati; Actinomycetota. The record is from RNAcentral.
GCGGGCGUAGCUCAGUGGCAGAGCAGGAGGUUUCCAACCUCCGUGUCGCCGGUUCGAUCCCGGCCGCCCGCU